CGCGGCCUAUCAGCUUGUUGGUGAGGUAAAGGCUCACCAAGGCAUUGACGGGUAGCUGGUCUGAGAGGACGAUCAGCCGCACUGGGACUGAGACACGGCCCAGACUCCUGCGGGAGGCAGCAGUGGGGAAUCUUGCGCAAUGGGCGAAAGCCUGACGCAGCAACGCCGCGUGGGGGAUGAAGGCUCUCGGGUUGUAAACCCCUUUCAGCAGGGACGAAAUUGACGGUACCUGUAGAAGAAGCCCCGGCCAACUACGUGCCAGCAGCCGCGGUAACACGUAGGGGGCAAGCGUUGUCCGGAAUUAUUGGGCGUAAAGGGCUCGUAGGCGGUUCGGUAAGUCAGAUGUGAAAGGUUGGGGCUCAACCCUAAGACUGCAUUUGAUACUGCCGUGACUGGAGUCCGGUAGAGGAGUGUGGAAUUCCUGGUGUAGCGGUGAAAUGCGCAGAUAUCAGGAGGAACACCGACGGCGAAGGCAGCACUCUGGGCCGGUACUGACGCUGAGGAGCGAAAGCGUGGGUAGCAAACAGGAUUAGAUACCCUGGUAGUCCACGCCGUAAACGUUGGGCACUAGGUGUGGGGCCUUAUCAACGGGUUCCGUGCCGUAGCUAACGCAUUAAGUGCCCCGCCUGGGGAGUACGG
RNAcentral lists this ribosomal RNA (639 nucleotides) under uncultured bacterium. Its description in RNAcentral is "bacterial SSU rRNA". It matches the Rfam family "Bacterial small subunit ribosomal RNA", at positions 232 to 885 of the family's 1533-position model. The record is from RNAcentral.